This 696-nucleotide ribosomal RNA is filed under the name Microbacterium sp. L1962. Its description in RNAcentral is "bacterial SSU rRNA". It matches the Rfam family "Bacterial small subunit ribosomal RNA", at positions 36 to 744 of the family's 1533-position model. The record is from RNAcentral. Lineage: Bacteria; Bacillati; Actinomycetota; Actinomycetes; Micrococcales; Microbacteriaceae.
CUGGCGGCGUGCUUAACACAUGCAAGUCGAACGGUGAAGCCCAGCUUGCUGGGUGGAUCAGUGGCGAACGGGUGAGUAACACGUGAGCAACCUGCCCCUGACUCUGGGAUAAGCGCUGGAAACGGCGUCUAAUACUGGAUACGAGACGUGAUCGCAUGGUCAACGUUUGGAAAGAUUUUUUGGUUGGGGAUGGGCUCGCGGCCUAUCAGCUUGUUGGUGAGGUAAUGGCUCACCAAGGCGUCGACGGGUAGCCGGCCUGAGAGGGUGACCGGCCACACUGGGACUGAGACACGGCCCAGACUCCUACGGGAGGCAGCAGUGGGGAAUAUUGCACAAUGGGCGCAAGCCUGAUGCAGCAACGCCGCGUGAGGGAUGACGGCCUUCGGGUUGUAAACCUCUUUUAGCAAGGAAGAAGCGAAAGUGACGGUACUUGCAGAAAAAGCGCCGGCUAACUACGUGCCAGCAGCCGCGGUAAUACGUAGGGCGCAAGCGUUAUCCGGAAUUAUUGGGCGUAAAGAGCUCGUAGGCGGUUUGUCGCGUCUGCUGUGAAAUCCCGAGGCUCAACCUCGGGUCUGCAGUGGGUACGGGCAGACUAGAGUGCGGUAGGGGAGAUUGGAAUUCCUGGUGUAGCGGUGGAAUGCGCAGAUAUCAGGAGGAACACCGAUGGCGAAGGCAGAUCUCUGGGCCGUAACUGAC